GCUAAAAUGAUUGUGCUGGAAAAUUGGUUAGUGUUUGAAGGGCAAUGAUGCAGAGCGAAAACUCUGUUGAAGAUUCGCUUCAUAUCCGCAAGCUGGAGGUUACUGAUAAAGAAAAAGGCUUUAUUGAAUUGCUGAGACAAUUGACUGUCUGUGAUUCUGUUUCGGACGAGAGAUUUAAGGAGAGAUUUGAAGAAAUCGCGAAAUAUGGGGAUGAUCAUUGUAUUUGUGUGAUCGAAGAUGUUCGAUUAGGGAAGAUUGUUGCUACUGGAAGUGUGUUUAUUGAGAAGAAGUUUGUGAGGAAUUGUGGUAAAGCUGGACAUAUUGAGGAUGUUGUGGUCGAUUCGAGUGCUCGUGGGAUGCAAUUAGGUAAGAGAAUUGUUGAAUAUCUUGCUCAUCAUGCUCUUUCAAUGGGGUGUUAUAAGGUAAUCCUUGAUUGCACUGAAGAGAAUAGACCUUUUUAUGAGAAAUGUGGUUUUAAGAAGAAAGAAAUUCAGAUGGUUAAGUAU
RNAcentral lists this unclassified non-coding RNA (506 nucleotides) under Hevea brasiliensis (rubber tree). Lineage: Eukaryota; Viridiplantae; Streptophyta; Magnoliopsida; Malpighiales; Euphorbiaceae. The record is from RNAcentral.